RNAcentral lists this long non-coding RNA (643 nucleotides) under Homo sapiens (human). Its description in RNAcentral is "HSALNT0212965". Lineage: Eukaryota; Metazoa; Chordata; Mammalia; Primates; Hominidae. The record is from RNAcentral.
GCCAGAUUCCUCCAGAACUGGGGAAGAGAACAGGUUUUGAAGUUGGGGGAGGGUUUGGGUUUCACAGUGAUGGUUUCAUGAUACCCUGGAGGGUUGCACACUCCUGGUGCAUUUUUGUAUUCGUGCUUUGAAUACAGCCCGCUUCCUUUCAACCCUCCGCUUAAAAAGUUUUGAUGUUUUAAGGAAGAAAAAUGAGAUGAUUGUUAUUACUUUUCCUUUCGGGGCAAGUGGAGGAGACCUGUGCUCUUUUAUGCCGCUGAAGAAAGGUUGCUGGCAACCUCAGGCCUCAGGACUCAAAGAAGAGGGGCUUAUAGUCUCCUCUUUGGGUCUGUGUGUGAGGAGGUAGGGGGUGUUGCGCCGCCCGUGGCCCAGGGCGGGCCCUGAGGACCACAUCCCUGCCCCCCAGGCUGGUUUUUAGCCUGUCGUGGAAGUGCUGGGACAGAAGCAGCCCCUUCUUCUCUCACUCCCCGGCUGCCCCUCCUAGCCCCUCUUCAGGGGGUCCCCAUGUCUCAGCCCGAGGGAGAAGUUGGCUCUGGCCAGAGCCACGCUCACACUCCCACAGGAUGCCGCAAGUCCCAGGCCUGGCUCCUGGUAGCAGUGGUGACUUGGUGUCCCUUUUAGCAGGCUUCCAUUCCUGGGGAGG